GCUCCUGAUUGAUAAACAUUUGAGUGAGUGGCGGACGGGUGAGUAACACGUGGGUAACCUGCCCUAAAGUGGGGGAUAACAUUUGGAAACAGAUGCUAAUACCGCAUAAAACCUAACACCGCAUGGUGUAGGGUUGAAAGAUGGUUUCGGCUAUCACUUUAGGAUGGACCCGCGGUGCAUUAGUUAGUUGGUGAGGUAAAGGCUCACCAAGACCGUGAUGCAUAGCCGACCUGAGAGGGUAAUCGGCCACACUGGGACUGAGACACGGCCCAGACUCCUACGGGAGGCAGCAGUAGGGAAUCUUCCACAAUGGACGAAAGUCUGAUGGAGCAACGCCGCGUGAGUGAAGAAGGUUUUCGGAUCGUAAAACUCUGUUGUUGGAGAAGAAUGUAUCUGAUAGUAACUGAUCAGGUAGUGACGGUAUCCAACCAGAAAGCCACGGCUAACUACGUGCCAGCAGCCGCGGUAAUACGUAGGUGGCAAGCGUUGUCCGGAUUUAUUGGGCGUAAAGCGAGCGCAGGCGGUUUCUUAAGUCUGAUGUGAAAGCCUUCGGCUCAACCGAAGAAGUGCAUCGGAAACUGGGAAACUUGAGUGCAGAAGAGGACAGUGGAACUCCAUGUGUAGCGGUGAAAUGCGUAGAUAUAUGGAAGAACACCAGUGGCGAAGGCGGCUGUCUGGUCUGUAACUGACGCUGAGGCUCGAAAGCAUGGGUAGCAAACAGGAUUAGAUACCCUGGUAGUCCAUGCCGUAAACGAUGAGUGCUAGGUGUUGGAGGGUUUCCGCCCUUCAGUGCCGCAGCUAACGCAUUAAGCACUCCGCCUGGGGAGUACGACCGCAAGGUUGAAACUCAAAGGAAUUGACGGGGGCCCGCACAAGCGGUGGAGCAUGUGGUUUAAUUCGAAGCAACGCGAAGAACCUUACCAGGUCUUGACAUCCUUUGACCACUCUAGAGAUAGAGCUUUCCCUUCGGGGACAAAGUGACAGGUGGUGCAUGGUUGUCGUCAGCUCGUGUCGUGAGAUGUUGGGUUAAGUCCCGCAACGAGCGCAACCCUUAUUACUAGUUGCCAGCAUUUAGUUGGGCACUCUAGUGAGACUGCCGGGUCAGCUCGUGUCGUGAGAUGUUGGGUUAAGUCCCGCAACGAGCGCAACCCUUAUUACUAGUUGCCAGCAUUUAGUUGGGCACUCUAGUGAGACUGCCGGUGACAAACCGGAGGAAGGUGGGGACGACGUCAAAUCAUCAUGCCCCUUAUGACCUGGGCUACACACGUGCUACAAUGGAUGGUACAACGAGUUGCGAGACCGCGAGGUUUAGCUAAUCUCUUAAAACCAUUCUCAGUUCGGAUUGUAGGCUGCAACUCGCCUACAUGAAGCCGGAAUCGCUAGUAAUCGCGGAUCAGCAUGCCGCGGUGAAUACGUUCCCGGGCCUUGUACACACCGCCCGUCACACCAUGAGAGUUUGUAACACCCAAAGCCGG
RNAcentral lists this ribosomal RNA (1475 nucleotides) under Latilactobacillus sakei. Its description in RNAcentral is "bacterial SSU rRNA". It matches the Rfam family "Bacterial small subunit ribosomal RNA", at positions 68 to 1430 of the family's 1533-position model. Lineage: Bacteria; Bacillati; Bacillota; Bacilli; Lactobacillales; Lactobacillaceae. The record is from RNAcentral.